AUUAAGUAAAAAUCACGUGCCUCAAAUAACUUUUCACCUUGCUGAGCGAGAGUUUGCUCCCCUCCCCCACCGAGGCCUCAGCUGGCACUUUUCCAACCCAGUGUUCACUUCAUACAGCUAAGAGACCAGCCUCUCCCCAUCCCCCACCAUGUUAACAGCCAAUUAGUGAUUAUCCAAUCAGAGCGCUCCAUGAGCUGCAAUGUAAUAUUCCAUACCAGUUUUCACUUGCCUGCAUGCUCUCCCCAUCCCCCACCAUGUUAACAGCCAAUUAGUGAUUAUCCAAUCAGAGCGCUCCAUGAGCUGCAAUGUAAUAUUCCAUACCAGUUUUCACUUGCCUGCAUGCUCUCCCCAUCCCCCACCAUGUUAACAGCCAAUUAGUGAUUAUCCAAUCAGAGCGCUCCAUGAGCUGCAAGCACAAGAAGUUUUCUAAUUUUCAUAUAAAACUUUCCCCUAUGGCAGGAUGGAGACCUCGCGAUUUACGCGACGGAUGGAGCGACUUCAUCACCAAAAGUGUGAGGAGACAUUUGAAAAAGCCCAGUCCUCCAAGGUGCAGUUAUUCAGCCAUAGCAACAAGGAUCAUCACCCAUCAUCCACUGAUCAUGAGGAGCAGCUAGGGAUACUGCAACCUUCAAAAUCAGAGGUGUCUGUCGAAGUUGAGUUAUCCAGCCACACUGUAUCCAACAAAGACCAUCACCCAUCAUCCAGUUAUCAUGAAGAGCAGCUAGAGAUACUGGAACCUUUGAUACCAGAGGUGUCUGUCGAAGUUGAGUUAUCCAGCCACACUGUAUCCAACAAAGACCAUCACCCAUCAUCCAGUUAUCAUGAAGUGCAGCUAGAGAUACUGGAACCUUUGAUACCAGAGGUGUCUGUCGAAGUUGAGUUAUCCAGCCACACUGUAUCCAACAAAGACCAUCACUCGUCAUCAAAUGAACAUGAUGUGCUCUUUGAAGAGACAGCAUUAUCCAGCCACAGUGGAUCAGAUGAAGACUAUCAUCAUUCAUCCACACCAUCAUCCAGUGAAAAUGAGGUGGUCCCAGAGGAGUCUGUGAUGUCCAACUUUGAUAUAACAGUGAAAAACUGUGGUCGCUCAUUCAGUGAACAUGAGGCACUGGAAGGUGAGGGCCUAGAAACCAAAGCUAAGUCACUUCAGCCAGCCAAACAAUUAAGGAGAAGAAGAAAUAAAAAGUCACAAGUAACUAUUAAAACAAGCAAAAAAAAGGAUGGUGGAAGAUCCUGGAAUAAAGCCCAUUACUGUUUCUAUUGUAAACGGUCUAAUUUGCAGAUAGCUAGACAUUUACAAAGAAAACACAUGGAUGAAGAUGAUGUAGCUUUUGCCUUUAGUUUUCCUCCUGGCUCCAAACAAAGGAAGAUGCAGUUGGAAUUCCUUCGCAAUAAGGGCGACUGGCAACAUAAUCUGAAGGUUUUGGAAGAAGGACAUGGGGAAAUAGUAACAUGGAAACAGCCCUCUGAGAAGGCUUCGGUUCAGGACUACCUACCAUGCCAACACUGCUAUGAAAUGUUCAAGAAGACUGAACUCUGGAGACAUGAGAAGUCGUCAUGUAGAAGUAGGAAUAGGGAAAGGGAAGAAGGUAAAAAAAGAAGAGUACAAAAAGCUUCCUCACAACUCCUUCCAAUGAGGGAAUCAUCUGAAGGAAUGCAAAAGAUCAUUCAUAGUAUGUUACAGGAUAACGUAACCCGUCUCAUCAGAAACGAUGAGAUGAUAUGUACAUAUGGAGAUGCGUUAUUUGCGAGGAAACACCGUGAACAAUCUCAGCAUAGAUACAUUGCACAAAAGAUGAGAGAACUGGGGAGGUUUGUGUUGGCUGCCAAGGAAAUUGAUAGUAGUGUCAAAACACUAAAAGAUAUGUGAUCCAGUAAAAUUUGAACUGGUAAUUAAAGCAGCCAGGAGGGUGUCGAACUAUAGUGCAAACACAGGUGAAUACGGAAAGCCAUCUACUGCAGUCAAAAUUGGAUUUUCUCUUAAAGGAGCAACAGAAACCUGGAUUGGCCAUUGUUUGAUGACGUCGGAUGUUUUGGCUGAAAAGAAAGCUAAAAAAUUCAAGGAAUUGCUAGAUUAUUCCUGGUCCAGUUACGUGUCGGCUAAUGCUCGUAGUACAAUAGAACAACGAAGGUGGAGCAAUGAAGACUGUGUUUCUUUGACAGAGGAUAUUGUUACUCUUCAGAACUACUUGAGGAAUGUUGAGGAUGAGGCCAAGGCAGAGUUACAUAGAAACGUGAGCACCACAGCAUACAAAAUGUUAAGUGAGAGCCUUCUCGCACAAAUAAUAGUUUUUAAUAAGAAGUGCGAAGGAGAAGCAUUACGUUUAACCUUGGAGAUGUAUUUUAAAGCAGAUACAGGCCCUGUUAACAAAGACAUAUAUGAGACCCUAUCACCAGUGGAAAAGCAGCUGAGCCACAGGCUGACACGAAUAGUGAUACGUGGAAAAAGAGGUAGAAAAGUGCCUGUUCUCCUUCUUGAGCGUACUAAAUCCUCUCUUGACUUCCUGAUCAAAAAACGAAAAGAAGUUGGUGUACUGGAUGACAACCCAUUUUUAUUUGCAAGGAUCGGUACAACCACCAAUAUUCGUGGACGUGACUGCUUGAGGAAAUUUUCUGAAGCAUGCAAGGCCAAAAAUCCAGAGCUCCUUAGAUCAACAAAACUGAGAAAGCAUGUUGCCACCUUAUGCCAGCUUUUGGACUUUGACAAUCAAGAACUGGAACAAGUAGCUUGUUUUAUUGGACAUGAUAUAAGAGUUCACUGUGAUCGUCACCAAACAGAGAGAACUUUUCAGGUGGCCAAGAUUGGGAAACUUUUAUUUGCAAUGGAGAGCGGAGCAAAGUCACUUAAAGGGAAAAGUCUGGAGACACUGGACUCUGUGGUUUUUGAUGGAGCACAGCCACACCUAAUCACCACAGGCUUAACUGUUGAGAGGCCAAAGAAGACUACAGCUGAAAGACAUGAUGAUGAUGGGGAUGGAGAGGAGGAACCACGGAACACCAAAGUAUUGUCUGCUAUGAUGCGAAAGAGGACUGCUACAAGAUCCCCUGUUAAGAGGCGAAAGAAGACUGCAGCUAAAAGACGACAGGGUGAUAGUGGUGGUGAUGGUGAGAGGGAUGGAGAGGAGGAAACACAGUCCACCAUUAGAUUGUCUGUUAUGACACACAAGAAGGCUGGACCUAAAUGGCGACAUGAUGAUGAUUGGGAUGGAGAGGAGCGAAACGUCACUUCCACAAGACUCCCUAUUAAGGGGCGAAAAAAAAGACGACUACAAGAUCAUGCAUAGACAAUGUAUGGAAAAUACAAAUCAAGAGACCCUGGACUGAACAGGAGAGGUGUGCAGUUCUGCAAAGCAUGGCCAGGUUUAUUGCCCUAAGGAGGGUGCCAGCAAAAAAAGACUGCCAGCUGUGCAUUGGGAAAGAAUCUCCAUUACUCCACACUUGAACAUGGAAAGACGUUAAGUACUUUGUGUAUAAUGAAAUGAUCAAAGUCAAGAAGCAGCUGGAAUUUUAACUUUCGUCAUGCAUUCAGUGUUCAUAUUCAUGUAUUCAGUAUUGUUUUAAUAAAUGAUUGAUAUUUGAAUGCUGGUUACGUUCUUUGUUUUAAAAUUAAACAAUAAUCAUUACGGCUUAUGAUAAUAGAGCUAUCUUACAGGCAGCAUUUUGACAUGAAAUAGUAGGUAAACAGAUGUUUAUUAAUGAAGAUUUGGUUCUAUUUAGGUACAGAGUCUGAUUUAGUGUCACCAGGAAUGUAUGUGCCAACAAUUUGACUCAAUAUUCGAAAACAAUAAAUGGUAUCUUAGUUGAGCACUACUGUAAAUAAGGGGUAGAAGCAGAGUAUUUAGGUAGCAAUCCACAUGAAAAAAAUAUAAAACUGCCAAACUUCCUCAAUAAACAAAGAUUAUGCCUACUUAUUCUCACCUGUAAAGUACUGUGAGACAAUACAAAUGCACUGAGUGCCUGGUCCUCACAUUGUUGGUUAAAAACUUUUUCUAAAACUUGGUGUUUUAUGUAAUCUAAAGGAAUGUAUUCAUUAAGGGGGCCCUCUAGUGUCCAGAAUGACUAUGUGUUUAUAUGUGCCUCAGAAAUGCCGGUCCUCACUUUGUGGGUCUUUUUACCCGGUCC
RNA transcript from Hemibagrus wyckioides, 4122 nucleotides. RefSeq lists it as uncharacterized. The record is from RefSeq and is a predicted model, not a curated record. NCBI's taxonomy places the organism in Eukaryota, Metazoa, Chordata, Actinopteri, Siluriformes, Bagridae. The transcript has 7 exons.